AGCAUAUCAAUAAGCGGAGGAAAAGAAACUAACAAGGAUUCCCCUAGUAACUGCGAGUGAAGAGGGAAAAGCUCAAAUUUAAAAUCUGGCAGCUUCGCUGUCCGAGUUGUAAUUUAGAGAAGUGUUACCCUUGCUGGACCGUGUACAAGUUUCCUGGAACGGAACGUCAUAGAGGGUGAGAAUCCCGUCUUUGACACGGACUCCCAGUAUUUUGUGGUGCGCUCUCGAAGAGUCGUGUUGUUUGGGAAUGCAGCACUAAAUGGGUGGUAAAUUCCAUCUAAAGCUAAAUAUUGGCGAGAGACCGAUAGCAAACAAGUACCGUGAGGGAAAGAUGAAAAGAACUUUGGAAAGAGAGUUAAACAGUACGUGAAAUUGUUGAAAGGGAAACGCUUGAAGUCUAGUCGCGUCGGUUGGGAAUCAGUCUUGCUUCUGCUUGAUGUACUUUCUGAUCGACGGGUCAGCAUCAGUUUUGACCGUUGGACAAAGGUUGGAGGAAUGUGGCAUCCUCGGAUGUGUUAUAGCCUCUGAUUGUAUACAACGGUUGGGACUGAGGAACUCAGCACGCCGCAAGGCCGGGUACUUGUACCACGUUCGUGCUUAGGAUGCUGGCAUAAUAGCUUUAAUCGACCCGUCUUGAAACACGGACCAAGGAGUCUAACAUGCCUGCGAGUGUUUGGGUGGAAAACCCGAGCGCGCAAUGAAAGUGAAAGUUGAGAACUCAUCAGAGUGCAUCGACGCCCGGACCAGACGUUUUCUGACGGCUCCGCGGUAGAGCAUGUAUGUUGGGACCCGAAAGAUGGUGAACUAUGCCUGAAUAGGGUGAAGCCAGAGGAAACUCUGGUGGAGGCUCGUAGCGAUUCUGACGUGCAAAUCGAUCGUCGAAUUUGGGUAUAUGGGCGAAAGACUAAUCGAACCAUCUAGUAGCUGGUUCCUGCCGA
This 938-nucleotide ribosomal RNA is filed under the name Oudemansiella sp. RNAcentral describes it as "partial large subunit ribosomal RNA". It matches the Rfam family "Eukaryotic large subunit ribosomal RNA", at positions 37 to 964 of the family's 3401-position model. The record is from RNAcentral. Lineage: Eukaryota; Fungi; Basidiomycota; Agaricomycetes; Agaricales; Physalacriaceae.